GUUAGUUGCCAUCAUUAAGUUGGGCACUCUAGCGAGACUGCCGGUAAUAAACCGGAGGAAGGUGGGGAUGACGUCAAAUCAUCAUGCCCCUUAUGACCUGGGCUACACACGUGCUACAAUGGUUGGUACAACGAGUCGCAAGCCGGUGACGGCAAGCUAAUCUCUGAAAGCCAAUCUCAGUUCGGAUUGUAGGCUGCAACUCGCCUACAUGAAGUCGGAAUCGCUAGUAAUCGCGGAUCAGCACGCCGCGGUGAAUACGUUCCCGGGCCUUGUACACACCGCCCGUCACACCACGAGAGUUUGUAACACCCGAAGUCGGUGAGGUAACCGUUAAGGAGCCAGCCGCCUAAGGUGGGAUAGAUGAUUGGGGUGAUGUCGUAACAAGGUAGCCG
This 392-nucleotide ribosomal RNA is filed under the name Streptococcus equi. RNAcentral's name for it is "bacterial SSU rRNA". It matches the Rfam family "Bacterial small subunit ribosomal RNA", at positions 1110 to 1502 of the family's 1533-position model. Lineage: Bacteria; Bacillati; Bacillota; Bacilli; Lactobacillales; Streptococcaceae. The record is from RNAcentral.